Molecule: non-coding RNA, 4469 nt
Organism: Doryrhamphus excisus (bluestripe pipefish)
Lineage: Eukaryota; Metazoa; Chordata; Actinopteri; Syngnathiformes; Syngnathidae
Source: RefSeq, a predicted model, not a curated record
AAGGAGAGCGGUAUCGCGAGAGCGGUGGUGUGGCUCGCGACCGCAGCGCUGGAUGGGGAGGACAGAGUUGCCUGCCUGCCUGCCUGCCUGCCUGAAUGCCUGCGUGGAGUGGAGUGGAUACGCCCACGGCUCAGCCUCCUCUUUGCCGCUGAAUCACACUGUGGGACACGCGGGAGGACGGAGACCGGCGGCGCCUGGCUGCAUCCAUCCGGGGGAUCCAUGUUGGGUGAAAUAUCCGUAUGGCUGCCAAAAUAGCCAAAAUGCGUCCUCCGAUGACCGGCUGGUCGUACUAGCCCCCUCUUCCCAAGGUGGAUUCCAGACGCCAUAAGCCGCUGGACUUGGAACCAGGGAAGGCCUGCUCUGCUGCCCGGACCGGCGCCACAAGGUCCAGUGAAGAGGACAUGAGAGGACAUGGGAGCAUCUGGCCGGCCCAAACAACAAUUAUCUGACCAAAGUAGUCAACUUGCCAAAGGAAGUGACAAAGGAGUGACAAACAAACGGCAACAGAGACUCUGGCAGCAAGCACUCAGAUUCUAAAGGGGUAAAACCACCGCUGGACAGGGGCCGGCUUGUAUGGGGGCCAAAUCCCCAUCCAAGUCACAGCGCGUCUCCUCGAUCCUUCGUUCUCCUCCCUCCUCUGUCUCUGUUUUUCUCUCAAUCUCCCUCUUUUACUCUUAUGGGAGUGACAUAGAAACUGCUGCUCUGUCCGCUGCUCGGUCCCUUCCCUACCUUGCCGAGGGAACGGGAGCGUCCAGGUAGGGAUGUCGUGGAAGAGGAACUACUUUGCGUCCGGUGGCGGGGUGCAGGGGCUGGCGACCCCGAGAACCAUGACCUCCUUCGCGCCAAGCAAAGGCCUGAGCAACGAGCCGGGACAGAACAGCUGCUUUCUGAACAGCGCUCUGCAGGUUUUGUGGCAUCUGGACAUCUUCCGGAGAAGCUUUCGCCAGCUGACCACGCACAAAUGCAUGGAGGACUCGUGCAUCUUCUGCGCACUGAAGAGCAUCUUUGCCCAAUUCCAGUUCAGCAGCGAGCGUGUGCUGCCGUCAGAUGCACUGCGCAGCGCCCUGGCCAAGACUUUCCAGGGAGAGCAGCGCUUCCAGCUUGGCAUCAUGGACGACGCCGCCGAGUGCUUUGAAAAUCUUCUGAUGCGUAUCCACUUCCACAUCAGCGCCGAAAGCAGAGAGGACAUCUGCACAGCCAAACACUGCAUCCCGCACCAAAAAUUUGCCAUGACUCUGUUUGAACAGUGUGUCUGCAACAGCUGCGGAGCCACCUCGGACCCGCUACCUUUCAUUCAGAUGGUCCAUUACAUCUCCACCACCUCCCUAUGUAAUCAGGCGGUGAGGAUGCUGGAGUGCAGAGAGAAGGCCACACCGGACAUGUUUGGGGAACUUCUACGCAACGCCAGCAACAUGGGAGACCUCCGCAACUGUCCUAGUAACUGUGGCGAGGUGUUGCGUAUCCGUCGCGUGCUGAUGAACUCGCCAGAGAUUGUGUCCAUCGGGCUGGUGUGGGACUCGGACCACUCGGACCUGGCGGAGGACGUCAUACAUAGCCUGGGAACCUGCCUACGCCUGGGCGACUUGUUCUACCGUGUGACAGAGGACCGGGCUCGCCAGACAGAGCUCUACUUGGUGGGCAUGGUGUGCUACUACGGCAAGCACUACUCCACCUUCUUCUUCCAGACCAAGAUACGCAAGUGGAUGUACUUUGAUGAUGCCCAUGUCAAAGAGAUCGGCCCAAAGUGGAAGGACGUGGUGUCCCGCUGUAUCAAAGGCCAUUAUCAGCCCCUGCUGCUGCUCUACGCUGACCCCCGAGGGACGCCGGUGAUACUGCAGGAGAGCGCCAACCCCUCUACCGAAUCCAACCCUCAGCUGGAGCUCCAGCACUGCAGCAGAAGCAGCAAAGCGGGCUACGACAGCGAAGACUCUGGUCGGGAGCCGUCCAUUUCCAGCGACACCCGGACGGACUCUUCCACGGACAGCUCAAGCCACCGCGCCUCCCGCAGCCGACCCCUGCACCAAUCCACGGGCAGCCACUUGUCCAGUGAAUCGCAGACCACCGUGGUCUGUAAUUACAAGCUUGGCACGCCAUUGCACGGUGCUGACGCCAGAGAGUCAGCAGUGGAGGGUCCACCCCGACCCCCCUCUCCUCCCCUGCAGGAGUACAAGGAGACGGCCGUCUUCCUUCUAUCUUCCCGCCGCCCGCUCACCUCCUCCUCAUCCUCCUCUCGCCCCCUGUCGUCCUCCUCCUCGUCAGGGGUAGGGGGCUGUGAGGGCGGCGUUGGGGGACCUCACUGGGAGGAUGAGAGCACCAGCAGCGAGAGCAAGUCCAGUUCCUCUGGCGGCUGCUCCCGGCCAACCUGGAGGCCUCGUAGAGAAGCCCUGAACAUCGACAGCAUCUUCUCCACCCCGAACCAGAGGAUCUGCUCUCAGGGCUACCACACACUGCCGCGCCCCUCUCCCCAUCCGCCAGUACCACCUACCACGCCCACGCCGCGAGGCUCCCAACAGGCUGCGGAGCUGGAGGCAAGAUUCGGGCUGGUGAGGCAGCCCAGGUCAUCGGGUGGCGGCCGGCCCACCAUGGGCCCACCCGCUCCUCCGCCUCUGAGGGGGGUGGCGCACCAACCUCGCCUCAUUCAGAGGAUGGAGAGCGGCUAUGAGAGCAGCGAGAGGAACAGCAGCAGCCCUGACAGGGAGGUGGGGCAGCACAAACGGGUGCUGAUGUCUGGACCGUCAUGGCGUUCGGUGCCCAAGUCUAAGAGCAGUGGUGCUAUCUUGCAGGAGCUACCCUCACCUGAAUGGCGUGGGGCCACCAACACUGGGUGCACUGAGCUGGACGAGCUUCAGGAAGAGGUGGCGAGGAGAGCCCGCCAGCAGGAGCAGCAAAAGCGCAAAGAGGCAGAGCAAGAGGCGGCCAUGGGAUUCAAUCCCAAACCCAGCAAGUUCAUGGACCUGGAUCAGCUCCAGCACCAGGCUGUGCUCAGACCUGUGCAUGAGGCUAGCGGUCAUAGCAGAUUGGCUGUAGCCGCGUGCAUGAGGAGCGCCGCAGGGGACCCCGUGGUCAAACGCAGGCAGGAACAGGAAACGGAGUCAGGAAGCAGCCGCCCACAGGGGCCUUGCAGUGAACAGCCUGGACUGGUCCAAGUACUGCUGACACCCAAUCAGGAGGAGGUAGAGGACCAGGUGUCAGCCAACCAGGAGCCGCCCCCUCCGCCUCCACCCCUGCCCCCGCUCUAUCGCACCCCUGUUUCUCCUCCACGUCCCGCUGCGCUCACCCUCGGCAUCACUCACCUGAGCACCCCCUCCAACCAAGGCAGGGUCGGGGACAACGAGGGAGACAGCACGGUGGUGAGGCUGUGUGAGUUACUGCAGGCAGGGGGGGUGAGCAUCAGACCCCUGGGAAAGCACUUGGCUAUUUCUCUCCCAUCGCUUCCUCUGCGAUUUUGGGACGCACCCGUCACACAGCCUCCCCCGCCUCCCCCGCCUCCCCCGCCCCCUCCAGAACCCUCUGGACAAAGGAAACCUAUGACCCCUCUCUGGCAGCCACCCCAAACCGAUUCUACCACCACCACCGCCCCUCAGCCUUGGCAGUCCUCCAACAGCGCCACCCGCCAUUGGUCCUCCUGGAGUCUGGACCGCCCCGACGCCAUGGUGACACCCUAUGACACCCCUCCGGACCACUGUGCCCCUAUCCCACCCAGGCAGAGUGCCAGUGGGCACCCCUCUUGGGGGCACUAUAGCUCCCAGCAUGCCUUGGGGCAACACGGUGACCUCAGACGCUCUGAGCAAGAGGAAGCAGAGCUAACGGAACUUGACACCCUUUACCAGGCCAGUCUGCAGGCGGGGAGGACAGGCUGCAGCCCCUCAGAGCGGCUCAUAUCCAGGGUGGGUGGCCAGGCUCGCUCCAGAACCCCCAAUGCAGACAUGGAAAGGAGCGUGUUUGGUCCGGACAGCGCCAGCACCCCCACCUACCUCAACAAGGCAACCCCCCUCUCGACCCCACUUUUGUCUUUCCAUUGGCAGUCCCCCUUAAAGAUGUCUGUUGUUUCUCCGCAGCCAAUGGUGUUGCAGGAUCUGCGUUUGGGCACGGGGCCCGACGAGGGGGGCAACCUGAGGCGAAUUGGACGCAGCUUGAGCGGCACAGUGGUGGUGACCCCGCGCCACGGCCGCCUGACAGCGACCCGCAGCUUUGCGAAGCAGGCUGAUGUCAGUGCCUCGCAUUGCUUACUUCCUCUCUCCUGAGUCCUUGUCGCUAUUGCACCACUAUCACCUCCUCCAUCUUCUUCAUCACUUUGUCAUCACCACCUCCCUCCACUGCCUCACAGGAGUUGUCGGGCAGCGGCGGGAGCUUCUGGCUGUGUUUGACGGGGGUCAAGCUGUCCCCUGGUGACCAGAGUCCCGCCCGCCUUCACUGAUGACCACCUGGGCAUCAUCAGGUGGAUGGACAAAGCCCUUCCCUCUAUCCCC